Long non-coding RNA from Ipomoea triloba (trilobed morning glory), 862 nucleotides. RefSeq lists it as uncharacterized. The transcript has 5 exons. NCBI's taxonomy places the organism in Eukaryota, Viridiplantae, Streptophyta, Magnoliopsida, Solanales, Convolvulaceae. The record is from RefSeq and is a predicted model, not a curated record.
UCCUCUCGCCCUCCCUGAGAAACUGAUCGCAAUUAAGCCGUUGCUUUGCUCCUGCUCAAACAGCAAUGGAAACCUUCCGAUCUUUGAGGAAACGGUUACUCUCAAAUGAAAACGUCUCAACUCUUCCUUUUCACUGCUCUGCUCCUGCUCUCCCGGUCAUACUCUAAAACUUGCUUCAAACUUCACGCCGUCGAUCGCCUCCGACGUUGAUUAAAUACUCGCCGUCGAUGGCUUCCGAUCGACGUCCCAACUCUUCCUCUUUACGCCGUGAGCAAUGCUGAAUAUGAGAGUGUGAAGGAAAAAAUUGAUCCAAGUUGCACCUUCUAUCACUCUAUCUCUUUCCAACGGAUUACACAUCUUUUGGUCGCCAAAAGAUAGUAUUAUGAAUGCUAGGUGUUGGAGAUCAUCAUGGUUGUCCUUAUCGUCAUUUCAGCGGGAAUUAUCUCAUUAUCAAGCUGACUCAUGGUUUCUUUGGUGGACGGUGGAAUUUUCUUCUUAUCUUGAGGUUGGUACAGAAUUGAACAGCGACAAAGAAGACAUAAACCAAUGAAGAUAUGCCACAAACUUGCAUGAGAAACGCAUUUUGUUUGUGGGUCAGGGAUCACAGGCCCCUACCCACAUGUAAAAGCCUUUGCUUGUUGCAAUGAUAGUGGCACGUAGAGGUCAUUCUGCUCCAGUCAUUGAAGAGUGGAUAUGCAUGCAUCUAGUAAUGCGUUGUUUGACUAUUUAGAUCAGGUAACAAAAUUCAAUCAUUCUUCCUUGAGUUACAUCUUGGUUGGCUAGAUUUGGUUUUAUAAUUAACAACAGCGUCGCAUACAUGAUAGCAAAUUCAAUGCAUGAGUCAUUCUGAGUCUAGCACCAA